Molecule: long non-coding RNA, 339 nt
Filed under: Carica papaya (papaya)
Lineage: Eukaryota; Viridiplantae; Streptophyta; Magnoliopsida; Brassicales; Caricaceae
Description: long non-coding RNA (CPAP_LNC004221)
Source: RNAcentral
GAUCAAUCCUAUAUAGGGAAUAAAUUUGGCACGAUCAGAUGAAAUCAGGAUCGUUCGAUCGUGACUGAAGGAAAAACAAAUCUGGGUCGUCCGUGCCUGCGGGAGGAGAUCUAGGCUGUUGGAUAUGCUAGCACGCGAAUCGCCCGCUUGUCCUCCUGCGUGGACGCAUGCCACAUGUCUGCCACACGACGCAUGGUGACCGGCCGCUCUAUUAACGUGGCGAUCCACGUGGCCAAAGUUUUAUUGUUUUUACUUUUACCCUAAUUUUUCAAAUUUCUUCUCAAAUAGCUCCUUCCUUAUUUUUACUUUGAUCCUGAUUUUCGAAAAUAUUUUGAAAUG